This 254-nucleotide ribosomal RNA is filed under the name uncultured bacterium. RNAcentral's name for it is "partial 16S ribosomal RNA". It matches the Rfam family "Bacterial small subunit ribosomal RNA", at positions 524 to 776 of the family's 1533-position model. The record is from RNAcentral.
AACGUAGGUUCCGAGCGUUAUCCGGAUUUACUGGGCGUAAAGCGCGUUCAGGCGGUUUGGCAAGUCGGGCAUGAAAUCUCUCGGCUCAACCGGGAGAGGUUGUCCGAUACUGCUGGACUUGAGGGCAGUAGAGGGUGGUGGAAUUCCGGGUGUAGUGGUGAAAUGCGUAGAUAUCCGGAGGAACACCGGUGGCGAAGGCGGCUUCCUGGACCGAUUACUGACGCUGAGGCGCGAAAGCUAGGGGAGCAAACGGG